Long non-coding RNA from Diabrotica virgifera virgifera (western corn rootworm), 905 nucleotides. RefSeq lists it as uncharacterized. The transcript is spliced from 2 exons. NCBI's taxonomy places the organism in Eukaryota, Metazoa, Arthropoda, Insecta, Coleoptera, Chrysomelidae. The record is from RefSeq and is a predicted model, not a curated record.
UUCAUAAUUUCAAUUCAAUAUAUUCAUUAACUUAAUAAAUUUAUAAUGAGUAUUUAUUUUUGAUUUGUUCUUAACGAUUACUACUACAUAUAUUUAUUCCUGGUUAGAAUUUUUUGUUCUUGUUUUCUUUGAGAAAAAUUUCUCAGCUGUGUUCAAAAUUUUUCUGAUGGGUGGUAGGAGUGUGUAACGUUACAAACGUCACAUCUUUGCUAUUUUAUUUUCAAAUAAUUAUUUUAUUCUAUUUUCUUUAAUAAUAAUCCUCUUCUAUUUGUUUUACCUUUUUUCCCGUUAAAAAAUGGUUGGCGCCCUCUCUCGGUAUUUAUAGGCAUAUCUCAACAUUCUUGUUCUAUCUCAGAAUUCACAUUCUUAUUCAAUCGUUCUGUGGUUCAUGACAGUGACUUCGCACUGUCGUUUCUCUUUCAAAUUUUAAGCCCCCACUCACCAACUCUGUCAAUGUCAAGUGAACCCUUCUCUUUGUCAAAAUGAAGAAUAUUUUUUAUUUUAAUUCUAAAAUCUACUUAAGGCAAUGUCUGGCCUCAUAGCCACAUUUUCAAACAGACGUUCUUAAUUGGGUUUUCUGGACAAAUAAGAAUCUUCACCGGACAACCCUUCACCUCGUGGGAGGACUCCCUGAACCUGGAGCCCCCAAUAUCGCCGGCGAUGCUACAGUAAUUUAGUAUAUACACCACACCAUCAACCAACACCUGUAGGCCUGGUGGCCAGAACAUCCACGUCGCCAGAGCCCGUUGCAGAACAACAGCAAGACACCAAGAACCUGCAGACAGAUACCAAGUGCCAUCGAUAAGUAUAAUCUCUGAUCUGUAAAGUUUCGGCAAGGUCUUUUAAAUUAUUUUUUUUAAUACAUUAAUUAUGUCUUUUAUGAAAAAUAAACAUGAUUAGUUAAA